Molecule: ribosomal RNA, 373 nt
Filed under: uncultured organism
Description: bacterial SSU rRNA
Rfam family: Bacterial small subunit ribosomal RNA
Source: RNAcentral
CGUAGGGCGCGAGCGUUGUCCGGAUUUAUUGGGCGUAAAGAGCUCGUAGGCGGCUUGUUGCGUCAGCUGUGAAAACCCGCAGCUCAACUGUGGGCUUGCAGCUGAUACGGGCAGGCUUGAGUUCGGUAGGGGAGACUGGAAUUCCUGGUGUAGCGGUGAAAUGCGCAGAUAUCAGGAGGAACACCGGUGGCGAAGGCGGGUCUCUGGGCCGAUACUGACGCUGAGGAGCGAAAGCGUGGGGAGCGAACAGGAUUAGAUACCCUGGUAGUCCACGCUGUAAACGUUGGGCGCUAGGUGUGGGGGGCCUCUCCGGUUCUCUGUGCCGCAGCUAACGCAUUAAGCGCCCCGCCUGGGGAGUACGGCCGCAAGGCUA